GUCUUUUUGAAUUUAAUUUAAAGUCUGACCUGCCCACUGAAAUUUUAAAAGGCCGCAGUAAUUUGACUGUGCAAAGGUAGCAUAAUCAUUAGUUUUUUAAUUAAAAGCUUGUAUGAAGGGUUGGACGAGGUAAAAACUGUCUUUAUUUAAAUUAUAUUAGAAUUUAAUUUUUAAGUUAAAAAGCUUAAAUUUAUAUAAAAGACGAGAAGACCCUAUAGAUCUUUAUAUUAUUAUUUAAUAAUAGUAAUUAAGAAUAUUUUAAUAUUUAUUUUAAAUAGUAUUUUAUUGGGGUAAUAAAAAGAUUUGAUAAAUUCUUUUUGAUGUAUGACAUUGAUUAAUGAUUUAAUGAUCCAAUAAUUUUGAUUAUAAGAUUAAGUUACCUUAGGGAUAACAGCGUAAUUUUUUUUGAGAGUUCUUAUCGAUAAAAAAGUUUGCGACCUCGAUGUUGGAUUAAAAAUUGUUUUAGGCGCAGAAGUUUAAAAAUUUGGUCUGUUCGACCAUUAAAUUUUUACA
Molecule: ribosomal RNA, 513 nt
Filed under: Exocelina australiae
Lineage: Eukaryota; Metazoa; Arthropoda; Insecta; Coleoptera; Dytiscidae
Description: partial 16S ribosomal RNA
Rfam family: Bacterial large subunit ribosomal RNA (bases 387-513)
Source: RNAcentral